This is a non-coding RNA of Thamnophis sirtalis, 1726 nucleotides long. NCBI's taxonomy places the organism in Eukaryota, Metazoa, Chordata, Lepidosauria, Squamata, Natricidae. The record is from RefSeq and is a predicted model, not a curated record.
CUCUUCUUCCGAGCAUACGCGCGAGGCGGGUGGUGGGAGGGUGGUGGUGGUUAAAAAAAAAGGCCCCCUGGAAGAUACGGCGGUUUGAAUUUUCUUUUUCCUUGGGAAACGCCCACCGAGAGCGCGGGGAAGUUAAGAGGCCGCUAAUGCGAAAGUUAUUCUGUGGGAUUUAAAAAACAAUCCCCCCCCCUCUUAGUUUUGGGGCGUGGGAAAUGUAAGACUGCCGAUUUAAGCCAUGGCUCCAGAUUCAUUCCUCCAGAGGAGGAUUUCUCUUACUAAACACUGUACGCUGCCUUGAGGCUACUAUAGUCCUAGAUGCAAUUCUUUAAAAAUAAAUCCUGUUGAGUCUCCCGAGGGGAUGAUCUACUACUGCAAAGUAACUCCCGAGAUACUCAAAAGUGAAGGCACUGGCACUUAAAAUGUACACUACAAAACUGUCAUUAUCAAACUGAAUUGAAACGGUAAAGCUCUGACUGAAGAAAAUGAUCCAGGUGCUUUUUCUGAUAUUAGAAAAACAGACUGAAAAAGAGUUCUGUUCUACAACUUGGGACCUGCAUGGCUUUCCUUUAUGUGUACAAGAAAUGGACCUUAGAAAGUGAAGCAGGAGCACAAGUGAAGCAACAUUUUUUUGUUGAUCUAUCUGCCAUAAACUCAAGAACCCUUUCGUGGUCAGUUAUGCAGUAUAUUUUGAUAUAGAACACAAAUGGAAAAAGAAAAUUAGGAGUAAAGCCAGAUGAAUGGGAGGUAAGAAAAAAGGUCAAUUUGUCCUGAAAAAAUUGGAUGACACAUUCCGUUCCACCUGAGGGUUUAUGCCAUUCUUACUAAGAAGACAAAAAGGAUUAAUAAGAAAAAUGAUGCUAUAGUUUUGCAGAUUUAUUAAUAGGGAAUCUAAAUGGAUCUAGGAAGAUAACUUUAAAAGUAACCCUCUAUUUAUUUAAUUAUUUGAUGAUGAUUAAUUAAUUAUAACUUUCCAAUCUGCUAAUGUUGCUUUAAAAAACUUGAUCUUGCAAACAAAAUUGUGCAUACUUUUCCCCCCUUUCUUUUGUAAUCCUUAACAAUUAUUCUGAAAUCAGUAAUACAUCUAGUGUGUUAAAUCUCUAAAGGAGGAUUAGGAGCCAUAGGUAGAGCUUCUAAAUUCUCCUCAGUUACUUCCUGCUUUCUUUUUCAAUAAUCCUGCUAUCCAAACUGGUUAUACAAUUGUCUUCAUUUUUAAAAAAAAAAAGUAAAACAGAAAACCAAAGCAUGUGGGAUAUAUCUCUGUGAUGUAGGAUGUUUAGAGUCACUUGUUGAGAUGCAUGGCUACAGAAAUUAAAUAGUUGGAUUAUUUUUAUGUCAAGGACCAAGAAGGUAUCACAGUAAAAAUACAUAGUUAGUGGUGGUAGAAUUGUGUAUAAUAAAUAAAUAGAGGCAGAUUAAUACCUGAUUAAUAACGGAAAGCAAGUAGUAAAUAAUAGCAAAUAGCGAAUAAUAACGGAAAGUAAUAAUGGAAAGUUUCCCACAGUUGACAAAAAAGUAACUCUCCCAUGUAGCUCUCCAAGGAACUGUUUUGGGAACAGGCCUUUUCAAAUUCAUGAAUGAAUGUUUUUUUCUGGGUUUUCUGGCGAUAGGACACAUUAUUUAAAAUAGCUAAAAGUGAAAGAUAAUUCAAGCAUUCUCAAAAAAAAAGUUCAAAAUUUAGGAAAUGUGUAUUUUAAACACAAACUCUCUGUUCCCUAAUUUAAAUAUA